CAGAUAUUUAACCUUUGAUCUGUGAGCUGUCUGCUUAGGAACAAAAGGAAAGGCAGCUUCUUGCAUGACUCAGCUUUCAGCUUAAGCAGAGUGAACUGGGGUCCCAAGUUUUUACUUCCUUUUCACUAGACACACACACACACAGUAUGUUUACAUAAACCCACACGUGUAUAUGUGUGUGGAAAGAUGUGCGUUUGUGUGCACGCACAUGUGUGUAAAGGCAACAUGCAGGCCAGAUAAAGCACAUCUGCAAGGUAGAUUUGUCCUUCAGGUAAUUAAUUUGGUCCGUUUUAAACUGUUUCUUUUUCAUCACUCUCUUAUCUGUAGUGACUGGCACUGUGCUCUAUGCCUCCAUCAAAUGUUAUCUGAAAUCACUGCCAAUGGAAAUGAAAAGGUUCUGCCAAUACAUCAUGUGUUUCGCUGUGCUGCCUCCUCUUUCUCAUGUGACCAACACAUCUGA
RNAcentral lists this long non-coding RNA (460 nucleotides) under Callithrix jacchus (white-tufted-ear marmoset). RNAcentral's name for it is "lncRNA (ENSCJAG00000082360.1)". Lineage: Eukaryota; Metazoa; Chordata; Mammalia; Primates; Cebidae. The record is from RNAcentral.